AAAUUGAAGAGUUUGAUCAUGGCUCAGAUUGAACGCUGGCGGCAGGCCUAACACAUGCAAGUCGAACGGUAGCACAGAGAGCUUGCUCUCGGGUGACGAGUGGCGGACGGGUGAGUAAUGUCUGGGAAACUGCCUGAUGGAGGGGGGAUAACUACUGGAAACGGUAGCUAAUACCGCAUAACGUCGCAAGACCAAAGAGGGGGACCUUCGGGCCUCUUGCCAUCAGAUGUGCCCAGAUGGGAUUAGCUAGUAGGUGGGGUAACGGCUCACCUAGGCGACGAUCCCUAGCUGGUCUGAGAGGAUGACCAGCCACACUGGAACUGAGACACGGUCCAGACUCCUACGGGAGGCAGCAGUGGGGAAUAUUGCACAAUGGGCGAAAGCCUGAUGCAGCCAUGCCGCGUGUAUGAAGAAGGCCUUCGGGUUGUAAAGUACUUUCAGCGGGGAGGAAGGUGUUGUGGUUAAUAACCGCAGCAAUUGACGUUACCCGCAGAAGAAGCACCGGCUAACUCCGUGCCAGCAGCCGCGGUAAUACGGAGGGUGCAAGCGUUAAUCGGAAUUACUGGGCGUAAAGCGCACGCAGGCGGUCUGUCAAGUCGGAUGUGAAAUCCCCGGGCUCAACCACGGGAACUGCAUUCGAAACUGGCAGGCUAGAGUCUUGUAGAGGGGGUAGAAUUCGGGUGUAGCGGUGAAAUGCGUAGAGAUCUGGAGGAAUACCGGUGGCGAAGGCGGCCCCCUGGACAAAGACUGACGCUCAGGUGCGAAAGCGUGGGGAGCAAACAGGAUUAGAUACCCUGGUAGUCCACGCCGUAAACGAUGUCGACUUGGAGGUUGUGCCCUUGAGGCGUGGCUUCCGGAGCUAACGCGUUAAGUCGACCGCCUGGGGAGUACGGCCGCAAGGUUAAAACUCAAAUGAAUUGACGGGGGCCCGCACAAGCGGUGGAGCAUGUGGUUUAAUUCGAUGCAACGCGAAGAACCUUACCUACUCUUGACAUCCAGAGAACUUAGCAGAGAUGCUUUGGUGCCUUCGGGAACUCUGAGACAGGUGCUGCAUGGCUGUCGUCAGCUCGUGUUGUGAAAUGUUGGGUUAAGUCCCGCAACGAGCGCAACCCUUAUCCUUUGUUGCCAGCGGUCCGGCCGGGAACUCAAAGGAGACUGCCAGUGAUAAACUGGAGGAAGGUGGGGAUGACGUCAAGUCAUCAUGGCCCUUACGAGUAGGGCUACACACGUGCUACAAUGGCGCAUACAAAGAGAAGCGACCUCGCGAGAGCAAGCGGACCUCAUAAAGUGCGUCGUAGUCCGGAUUGAGUCUGCAACUCGACUCCAUGAAGUCGGAAUCGCUAGUAAUCGUAGAUCAGAAUGCUACGGUGAAUACGUUCCCGGGCCUUGUACACACCGCCCGUCACACCAUGGGAGUGGGUUGCAAAAGAAGUAGGUAGCUUAACCUUCGGGAGGGCGCUUACCACUUUGUGAUUCAUGACUGGGGUGAAGUCGUAACAAGGUAACCGUAGGGGAACCUGCGGUUGGAUCACCUCCUUACCUUAAAGAA
RNAcentral lists this ribosomal RNA (1549 nucleotides) under Enterobacter kobei. RNAcentral describes it as "bacterial SSU rRNA". It matches the Rfam family "Bacterial small subunit ribosomal RNA". Lineage: Bacteria; Pseudomonadati; Pseudomonadota; Gammaproteobacteria; Enterobacterales; Enterobacteriaceae. The record is from RNAcentral.